GUCCACGCCCUAAACGAUGGCAACUGGGUGUUGGGGAAGCGAUUUCUCAGUACCGUAGCUAACGCGUGAAGUUGCCCGCCUGGGGAGUACGGCCGCAAGGUUAAAACUCAAAGGAAUUGACGGGGACCCGCACAAGCGGUGGAUGAUGUGGAUUAAUUCGAUGCAACGCGAACAACCUUACCUGCCCCUUGACAUGUCCGGAAGCCCGCUGAGAGGCGGGCGUGCCCGAAAGGGAAUCGGAACACAGGUGCUGCAUGGCUGUCGU
This 265-nucleotide ribosomal RNA is filed under the name uncultured bacterium. RNAcentral's name for it is "partial 16S ribosomal RNA". It matches the Rfam family "Bacterial small subunit ribosomal RNA", at positions 793 to 1055 of the family's 1533-position model. The record is from RNAcentral.